UUCAACAUUGCUUAAGUCACACCCUUCUCAUUUGACCAAUGACAUGAUCAAGAAUGAGCCCUUGUCCUAAUAUGUAUAUAUGUGAAGUGAUUCGCAGGUGGGUGAUUGAAUAUCUCUUAGAGAGCUUUUGAAAAUGGAGAAGCAACGUAAAUCAAAGAACAAGAUCCUCAAGUUUUUAUAACCCAAACCUGCUUCUGCAGUCUCCUUCCAAUUCAGCCCUGGUAGAGAUAAACGAUCUGAGAAUCACUUCCACAGUCUCAAAGCUCAUGUCGAUAAAGGAUUUUCUGGUCCCAUUGUUUCCAUCAUCCCCGAUGAAGUUCGACGGAAACCCAAGAAUGGAAACGUCGAGUGCGAAGAACCCACCUCGCCUAAAGUGUCCUGCAUGGGCCAAAUCAAACUCAAGAAGAAGAUGGUAAUUAGCAAGGCCAAGCGGGCUUUGCCUCAAGAAACAAAGGCUGUACCGUCUCCACGUAAGAUAAACAAACAUGCGUCGACGAUUAAGAAGCUCUUUAGUAGUGCAAAACCAACUGAUAGGAGGAGAUCCAAUGCUUCUAUCUAUGAGAAGCAGCCACUUUCUGAAAGAGCACCUGCUUUGAGUCGAGAUACGUUUGCCAGCAUUGACUGGACGGAUCAUAUUUCGCCGGUGGAUUCAGAUCACCGAGGUUAUUAUUCUGAUGGAGAAGAAGAAGAAGAAGAGGUGAUUAUUCCUUUCUCAGCGCCUAUAAUAAUUGGUCCUGCAGUGGCCUUGCAGCCAAGAAAAGAGGUUAAUCUAUGGAAAAGAAGAGCCAUGAAUCCACCGCGGCCUCUUCAGUUGAAUUUAAUCAGAGCAAUUUGAAUAGAUACAAUUUUCUUUUUCUUGAUAUAUAAGAUACCAAUUAAUAUUUGGUUCUUUUAAUCGUUGUUGUUCAUCUUAGAUUGGAGAAACACAGUGAAAUUAAGCAAUAUGUUAUUAAAUAAAUACAAAGAUUGAUGUAUGUGUAUAGCCGUUAUAUAUUAGUCUGUGAAUUUCGUGAGUGUUAAGCUCGUUAAUCUAUUUAUUCAUUCUUUUUAUCUAAGUAAUGCUUUGAAACGAAGUGAUUGAUCCCACAAGCAGUUGAAGAUAAUAGUGAAAUGCCUUAAAA
Molecule: RNA transcript, 1121 nt
Organism: Hevea brasiliensis (rubber tree)
Lineage: Eukaryota; Viridiplantae; Streptophyta; Magnoliopsida; Malpighiales; Euphorbiaceae
Exons: 1
Source: RefSeq, a predicted model, not a curated record